This is a long non-coding RNA of Lates calcarifer (barramundi perch), 2617 nucleotides long. RefSeq lists it as uncharacterized. The transcript has 4 exons. Lineage: Eukaryota; Metazoa; Chordata; Actinopteri; Centropomidae. The record is from RefSeq and is a predicted model, not a curated record.
UGUCCGUGACUCGUGGUGACUCGGUCCCCGAUUAGUCGGCAUUGCCGGCGUUCAUGGAGACAUUGUCGAUGAUCGCAGAGACUUUGUCCAUAAUCUCAGAGACAUUGUCCGUGAUCACAGAGACACGGUCCAUGAUCGGAGUGACAUUGUUGAGGAUGAGGGAGACAUCGUCCACGAUCAGAGACGUUGUCCAUGGUCGCAGAGACCUUGUCAAAGAUGAGAGAGACGUUGUCCAUGGUCAGAGACAUUGUCGCUGCUUCGCAGAGCUCUGCGCAAGAAUCGGUAGUGACACUGUGGUUCCUCGAUUCGACGGCAUGACCGCGAUCAGCUGGCAUUGUUAAUGAUCACAGAGAAACAGUCUAUCAUCCGAGACUUGGUCCACGAUCACAGACACAUUGUCAAUGAUCGCAGAGACUUUGUCCAUAAUCUCAGAGACAUUGUCCGCGAUCACAGAGAGUCUUCGAACACUGACGUUCUUUGAGACCAGGACAGAGGCCUCCAGGUGUCACCACUUGGUCCACGACAUCGACCACCAUCGCUGAGCCGUCGUCCAUGAUCAGAGAGACAUUGUUGAGGAUGAGGGAGACAUCGUCCACGAUCAGAGACAUUGUCCGUGACUCGUGGUGACUCGGUCCCCGAUUAGUCGGCACUGCCGGCGUUCAUGGAGACAUUGUCGAUGAUCGCAGAGACUUUGUCCAUAAUCUCAGAGACAUUGUCCGUGAUCACAGAGACACGGUCCAUGAUCGGAGUGACAUUGUUGAGGAUGAGGGAGACAUCGUCCACGAUCAGAGACGUUGUCCAUGGUCGCAGAGACCUUGUCAAAGAUGAGAGAGACGUUGUCCAUGGUCAGAGACAUUGUCGCUGCUUCGCAGAGCUCUGCGCAAGAAUCGGUAGUGACACUGUGGUUCCUCGAUUCGACGGCAUGACCGCGAUCAGCUGGCAUUGUUAAUGAUCACAGAGAAACAGUCUAUCAUCCGAGACUUGGUCCACGAUCACAGACACAUUGUCAAUGAUCGCAGAGACUUUGUCCAUAAUCUCAGAGACAUUGUCCGCGAUCACAGAGAGUCUUCGAACACUGACGUUCUUUGAGACCAGGACAGAGGCCUCCAGGUGUCACCACUUGGUCCACGACAUCGUCCACAAUUGCUGAGACGUCGUCCAUGAUCGGAGAGACAUUGUUGAGGAUGAGGGAGACAUCGUCCACGAUCAGAGACAUUGUCCGUGACUCGUGGUGACUCGGUCCCCGAUUAGUCGGCAUUGCCGGCGUUCUUGGAGACAUUGUCAAUGAUCACAGAGACUUUGUCCAUAAUCUCGGAGGCAUUGUCCGCGAUCACAGAGACGUAGUCCGCGAUCACAGACGACCAGGUGUCACCACUUCGUCCACGACAUCGACCACCAUCGCUGAGCCGUCGUCCAUGAUCAGAGAGACAUUGUUGAGGAUGAGGGAGACAUCGUCCACGAUCAGAGACAUUGUCCGUGACUCGUGGUGACUCGGUCCCCGAUUAGUCGGCAUUGCCGGCGUUCAUGGAGACAUUGUCGAUGAUCGCAGAGACUUUGUCCAUAAUCUCAGAGACAUUGUCCGUGAUCACAGAGACACGGUCCAUGAUCGGAGUGACAUUGUUGAGGAUGAGGGAGACAUCGUCCACGAUCAGAGACGUUGUCCAUGGUCGCAGAGACCUUGUCAAAGAUGAGAGAGACGUUGUCCAUGGUCAGAGACAUUGUCGCUGCUUCGCAGAGCUCUGCGCAAGAAUCGGUAGUGACACUGUGGUUCCUCGAUUCGACGGCAUGACCGCGAUCAGCUGGCAUUGUUAAUGAUCACAGAGAAACAGUCUAUCAUCCGAGACUUGGUCCACGAUCACAGACACAUUGUCAAUGAUCGCAGAGACUUUGUCCAUAAUCUCAGAGACAUUGUCCGCGAUCACAGAGAGUCUUCGAACACUGACGUUCUUUGAGACCAGGACAGAGGCCUCCAGGUGUCACCACUUGGUCCACGACAUCGUCCACAAUUGCUGAGACGUCGUCCAUGAUCGGAGAGACAUUGUUGAGGAUGAGGGAGACAUCGUCCACGAUCAGAGACAUUGUCCGUGACUCGUGGUGACUCGGUCCCCGAUUAGUCGGCAUUGCCGGCGUUCAUGGAGACAUUGUCAAUGAUCACAGAGACUUUGUCCAUAAUCUCGGAGGCAUUGUCCGCGAUCACAGAGACGUAGUCCGCGAUCACAGACGACCAGGUGUCACCACUUCGUCCACGACAUCGACCACCAUCGCUGAGCCGUCGUCCAUGAUCAGAGAGACAUUGUUGAGGAUGAGGGAGACAUCGUCCACGAUCAGAGACAUUGUCCGUGACUCGUGGUGACUCGGUCCCCGAUUAGUCGGCAUUGCCGGCGUUCAUGGAGACAUUGUCGAUGAUCGCAGAGACUUUGUCCAUAAUCUCAGAGACAUUGUCCGUGAUCACAGAGACACGGUCCAUGAUCGGAGUGACAUUGUUGAGGAUGAGGGAGACAUCGUCCACGAUCAGAGACGUUGUCCAUGGUCGCAGAGACCUUGUCAAAGAUGAGAGAGACGUUGUCCAUGGUCAGAGACAUUGUCGCUGCUUCGCAGAGCUCUGCGCAAGAAUCGG